AGAGUUUGAUCAUGGCUCAGAACGAACGCUGGCGGCGUGGAUAAGACAUGCAAGUCGAACGGGACUACUCUGAGUAGCAAUACCUGGAGUAGUUUAGUGGCGAACGGGUGCGUAACACGUGGACAAUCUGCCUUAAAGUGGGGGAUAGCUCGGCGAAAGCCGAAUUAAUACCGCAUGUGAUCAGCCAAGACAUCUUGGCGAAAUCAAAGACGGCGCAAGCUGUCGCUUUUUGAGGAGUCCGCGGCCUAUCAGCUAGUUGGUGAGGUAACGGCUCACCAAGGCUUUGACGGGUAGCUGGUCUGAGAGGACGACCAGCCACACUGGAACUGAGACACGGUCCAGACACCUACGGGUGGCAGCAGUCGAGAAUUUUUCUCAAUGGGGGAAACCCUGAAGGAGCGACGCCGCGUGGAGGAUGAAGGUCUUCGGGUUGUAAACUCCUGUCAUUUGGGAACAAGUCGUACGUAGUAACUAUACGUGCGUUGAUAGUACCAGAAGAGGAAGAGACGGCUAACUCUGUGCCAGCAGCCGCGGUAAUACAGAGGUCUCAAGCGUUGUUCGGAUUCAUUGGGCGUAAAGGGUGCGUAGGCGGCGCGGAAAGUCGGGUGUGAAAUUUCGGAGCUUAACUCCGAAACUGCAUUCGAUACUCCCGUGCUUGAGGACUGGAGAGGAGACUGGAAUUUACGGUGUAGCAGUGAAAUGCGUAGAGAUCGUAAGGAAGACCAGUGGCGAAGGCGGGUCUCUGGACAGUUCCUGACGCUGAGGCACGAAGGCCAGGGGAGCAAACGGGAUUAGAUACCCUAGUAGUCC
Molecule: ribosomal RNA, 810 nt
Filed under: uncultured bacterium
Lineage: Bacteria
Description: bacterial SSU rRNA
Rfam family: Bacterial small subunit ribosomal RNA
Source: RNAcentral